CCUACGGGGUGCUGCAGUGAGGAAUAUUGGUCAAUGGGCGCAAGCCUGAACCAGCCAAGUCGCGUGAGGGAUGACGGUCCUAUGGAUUGUAAACCUCUUUUGUCGGGGAGCAAGGCCCGCCACGUGUGGCGGGAAGGAGAGUACCCGAAGAAAAAGCAUCGGCUAACUCCGUGCCAGCAGCCGCGGUAAUACGGAGGAUGCGAGGGUUAUCCGGUUUUAUUGGGUUUAAAGGGGGCGUAGGGGGAAGGUUAAGUCAGCGUGAAAAUGUCGGGGCUCAACACCGGCCUGCCGUUGAAACUGGUCGUCUUGAGUGAGCGAGAGGUAGGCGGAAUGCGUGGUGUAGCGGUGAAAUGCAUAGAUAUCACGCAGAACUCCGAUUGCGAAGGCAGCAUACCGGCGCUCAACUGACGCUGAGGCACGAAAGCGUGGGGAUCGAACAGGAUUAGAUACCCGGGUAGUC
Molecule: ribosomal RNA, 460 nt
Filed under: uncultured bacterium
Lineage: Bacteria
Description: partial 16S ribosomal RNA
Rfam family: Bacterial small subunit ribosomal RNA
Source: RNAcentral